GAAGCUUUACUUUUAUGGAAGAGAGAAAUGACUCAAGCACUCUUUGUGUUAACUAAGAGGAAUGGUGAAAGUUUGAAGAUAACUGGAUCAAGUUCAGAGCACAGUUUCUAACAAGAUAUGAAGUGAAAAGAAAUCAAAUAUGUAUUUUAUUCUGUUGAGCUGUCCAGUGUCUACCAGACAAAUGUGUACUUUCAUCAGAGAAGCAAGCAGCAAUUACAUGGAGAGACUGAAGAUUUCAAGCUGAUUCUUCUACGGGGCUCCUAAAGCACUAUAGACAGCAUUACUCAUUCCUCCCUCCCUCCUUCUACCCCCCCCCAGCUGCCCAGCUGCCCACCAUACUAUUUAAAAGCUUCUUUCUCAAUAUAUUUUUUGCAACAGUUCUUUUCUGGCUCCAUCAUCAAGGCUUUGUGGGAAACACUUCAGGCAACGCCUCCCACACACCAAGCACAUAAAUAUUUAUUAGGUUUUUUUGUUUGUAUCCAUUCUCUUCUGUUCAAUCUGUGCUGUUUUUCAUCCAGGACACUCUGACUUUUUGAUUGUUUUAUUUAAAUGGAAGGAGAUAGGGUUAGAGUCAUAUACUAUUUUUCCUCUUCUCUCCACUACCCUCCAUCCCCCAAGGAUCUUUUAGAGUUAUUCUUAUCCUUGAGUAAGCCUUCAGGGCACGAAAUCCCCAUGACCUUGGCCAAAUUCUGUGCCAAACACAUACCUUAUAUAACUCUAGAA
This is a long non-coding RNA of Antechinus flavipes (yellow-footed antechinus), 723 nucleotides long. RefSeq lists it as uncharacterized. The record is from RefSeq and is a predicted model, not a curated record. NCBI's taxonomy places the organism in Eukaryota, Metazoa, Chordata, Mammalia, Dasyuromorphia, Dasyuridae. The transcript has 3 exons.